AUGGUGUCGUCGUGUCUUGCCCUCGUCGUCCUCCUUGCUCUGCCCUUCCUUGCCCUCGCCGGCGACCCGGACAUCCUCACAGACUUCAUCCUGCCGCCCGGCAACAAUGUGUCGCUCCUCAACGGCACCUUCUUCACCUACACAGGCCUCUUCGCUAUCGACUCCGCCAACCCAGCCAAGUUCACGGUGACAAAGGCCACCGCCACCGAGUUCCCGGCGCUGCUCGGCCAGUCCGUCUCCUACGCCGCCCUCAGCUUCGGCCCCGGCACCGUCAACCCGCCGCACGUCCACCCAAGGGCGUCAGAGCUGCUUUACGUGGUGGAGGGUCCGCUGCUGGUGGGCCUCAUCGACGAGACGAAAGGUGAGCUGUACGCGCAGACGCUGCAGACGGGUGACAUGUUCGUGUUCCCCAAGGGCAUGGUGCACUUCCAGUUCAAUAGUGGCGACCAUGUGGCGCGUGCCUUCUCGGCCUUCGGCAGCUCCAGCCCCGGCACCGUCUCGCUCCCGACUGUCCUCUUCGAGUCCGGCAUCCCUGACACCGUCCUCGAGAAGUCGCUUCACGUUGACCAGGCCACCGUGGAUGUGCUCGAGCAGGACCUGGCGCCACUCGCUCCCGCUCCCGCUCCCUCUCCAGAUACACCGCCAACACCUAAGAAUGGUGGUGCAGCACCCGCACCGGCGUGCUUCGCGCUGCUAGCUUGCUUCGCCGCUGCAUUGUUGUUGUGA
RNAcentral lists this ribosomal RNA (726 nucleotides) under Triticum aestivum (bread wheat). RNAcentral describes it as "partial small subunit ribosomal RNA". Lineage: Eukaryota; Viridiplantae; Streptophyta; Magnoliopsida; Poales; Poaceae. The record is from RNAcentral.